Molecule: ribosomal RNA, 460 nt
Filed under: uncultured bacterium
Lineage: Bacteria
Description: partial 16S ribosomal RNA
Rfam family: Bacterial small subunit ribosomal RNA
Source: RNAcentral
CCUACGGGUGGCAGCAGUGAGGAAUAUUGGUCAAUGGACGAGAGUCUGAACCAGCCAAGUAGCGUGAAGGAUGACUGCCCUAUGGGUUGUAAACUUCUUUUAUAUGGGAAUAAAAUGUUCCACGUGUGGGAUUUUGUAUGUACCAUAUGAAUAAGGAUCGGCUAACUCCGUGCCAGCAGCCGCGGUAAUACGGAGGAUCCGAGCGUUAUCCGGAUUUAUUGGGUUUAAAGGGAGCGUAGGUGGAUUGUUAAGUCAGUUGUGAAAGUUUGCGGCUCAACCGUAAAAUUGCAGUUGACACUGGCAGUCUUGAGGACAGUAGAGGUGGGCGGAAUUCGUGGUGUAGCGGUGAAAUGCUUAGAUAUCACGAAGAACUCCGAUUGCGAAGGCAGUUCACUGGACUGCAACUGACACUGAGGCUCGAAAGUGUGGGUAUCAAACAGGAUUAGAUACCCGUGUAGUC